CCUACGGGAGGCAGCAGUGGGGAAUUUUGGACAAUGGGCGCAAGCCUGAUCCAGCAAUGCCGCGUGAGUGAAGAAGGCCUUCGGGUUGUAAAGCUCUUUUGUCAGGGAAGAAACGGUGGAGGCUAAUAUCCUUUGCUAAUGACGGUACCUGAAGAGUAAGCACCGGCUAACUACGUGCCAGCAGCCGCGGUAAUACGUAGGGUGCAAGCGUUAAUCGGAAUUACUGGGCGUAAAGCGUGCGCAGGCGGUUUUGUAAGUUUGUCGUGAAAUCCCCGGGCUCAACCUGGGAAUGGCGAUGAAGACUGCAAGGCUAGAAUCUGGCAGAGGGGGGUAGAAUUCCACGUGUAGCAGUGAAAUGCGUAGAGAUGUGGAGGAACACCGAUGGCGAAGGCAGCCCCCUGGGUCAAGAUUGACGCUCAUGCACGAAAGCGUGGGGAGCAAACAGGAUUAGAUACCCUGGUAGUCCACGCCCUAAACGAUGUCUACUAGUUGUCGGGUUUUAAUUAACUUGGUAACGCAGCUAACGCGUGAAGUAGACCGCCUGGGGAGUACGGUCGCAAGNUUAAAACUUCAAAGGAAUUGACGGCNGNGAGNGCGAGGCGACGACGAGGAGAGG
RNAcentral lists this ribosomal RNA (616 nucleotides) under uncultured bacterium. RNAcentral's name for it is "bacterial SSU rRNA". It matches the Rfam family "Bacterial small subunit ribosomal RNA", at positions 338 to 946 of the family's 1533-position model. The record is from RNAcentral.